CAGCCGCCGCGGUAAUACGGAGGGUGCAAGCGUUAAUCGGAAUUACUGGGCGUAAAGCGCACGCAGGCGGUUUGUUAAGUCAGAUGUGAAAUCCCCGGGCUCAACCUGGGAACUGCAUUUGAAACUGGCAAGCUAGAGUCUCGUAGAGGGGGGUAGAAUUCCAGGUGUAGCGGUGAAAUGCGUAGAGAUCUGGAGGAAUACCGGUGGCGAAGGCGGCCCCCUGGACGAAGACUGACGCUCAGGUGCGAAAGCGUGGGGAGCAAACAGGAUUAGAUACCCCAGUAGUCCCUGUCUCUUAUAC
This 301-nucleotide ribosomal RNA is filed under the name uncultured bacterium. RNAcentral describes it as "partial 16S ribosomal RNA". It matches the Rfam family "Bacterial small subunit ribosomal RNA", at positions 509 to 807 of the family's 1533-position model. The record is from RNAcentral.